CUCUGCACGCUGAAGUCGCUGCAGUGACCUCCGUACCUGACUCUUAGGGGAUUUCUCCUGAGAAUUUGGGGGCCGGGGGAGAGGGUUGUAGGCCUAAUCCGUUGUUGUUGUAUUUUGACUGGGGGCUUGAUUUCUUUUGUCGGGAGCUGAGCCAGGAAGGGUUCGCAUGGCUGCGGUGUGCUUGCUAAUAUCGUCACUCUGACUUCUGCAGAGUAUCCGAGAGGGGUCUCCUGGGAUCUCAGUUUUAAGGUUCUCUGGAAGGUACAAUGGUCAGGGACCCCACUCCUCCAGGAGAUUCUGAUCAAAGGUCACGUACUUCGCCAGCCUCUAGUGUCCAGCCAGAAGUCUUAAAUUUAUUCAUCCGUAAGAUUGAGAUAACAUCUGGCUGGGCUGUUGUGAGCAUUGAAAGAGCUAAUGUACUUGUAGUGCCUAGUAGACUGUUCCAGGCAUCUGGUAGGCGCCUUUUCUUUUUCUCCCUGCUCCAGAUCUUUGGAUUCUAGGAAUGUAUCCGGAGUGAUAAACAUUGGGCGAGAUACUGUAUAUUGGGAGUGGGUGUGUGAAUGUGUGGGGAGUUUGAAUGUGGCAAUCUUGACUUCAGUGGCGCAUACACAGGAGGAGAAAAGGAUAAGAUGGAAACUUUGGGGAAAAUCCACAUCUGGAUGAAAAUAAACCAGAAGAGGAGAGAGAGAGAGCGAAGACCAGCAGAAAAGUAUUUAAACCAAGAGACAGUUGUUUGACAGAAUACAAGGAAAUAGAAAAGAUAAGUGAAUGGAGUGAUUGAUUAGUGUUUGGAGCUGUACGGUACGAAAGUGGAUAUCCUGUCUGGUUCCUUUGUUUUAGGUUGCAAGAGAACUAGAACCCUGAGAGGAGAAGCAGUUUUCACCUUCUUACUAGCAAAUCUUGUUUUUCUCUAUAGUGGUUUUUAUUAACUUCCAAAGGAAAACUGAAGAUCCUAACCCCUGUGUCAUGAGUUAUCACGUUAAAAGUCCAUAGAAAAAAUUUUUUUUAACCCAGUUCUUUUUGUGUAUAUAUUUUUUGCCUUGAUAAUACUAGUUUAUUGAGUUUGCCGAGUGACACAUUGCCAAAUCUUAUGCCCUAUUUUUAAUUCCUCAGAUACAUGAUCUUUCUGUAUAGUCUUAGACAGUCUUUACCCCUAGUCUGUUUGGAUGAAGAGCUUGGUAGAGAGGUUGAGUUUGAUAUCUAAGUGUCAGCGGCAUCAAACUCGGAGCCAGGUAUUAUGAUAAAGUGCUUUAACAUAUUCAGUGAAUCCCUACAACAGGCUGAAGAUGUUAUUUUUAUCCCCAUUUUUUAGAAAACUUUAUUCAGUUAUAAUUGAAGACCUCUACGCUGCACAUAUAUAAAGCCGUAAGUUUGGUUUGAUCAGUUUUGACAUAUAUGUAUACCCAUUAAACCACUACUACAAUAAACAUAAUCUUCUGUCAAUCCCAAAAGUUUUCUUGUGCCCUUUGUAAUCCAUCUCUCUUUCCAACCUCAUACCGAAGCAACCACUUUCUGUCAGUAGAGACUAGUUUGCAUUUUCUUGAAUCUUAAAUAAAUGAAAUCAUUAUCCCCACACAGUGUUCUCUUUUUUUUUGCCUCCUUAUUGCAUGUAUCAGCAGGUUGUGUUUUGUUUUAAUUACUGAUUAGUAUUCAGUUGUAUGGAUUUAUCACUAUUUUGUUUAUCUAAUCAUUGAUGGGAACAGCAUUUUUAUUUGUAAUAGCCCCAAAUUAGAAACAACACAAAUUGUUGUUGAAAAUGCUGUGAACAUUUGUGACUAGACUGUCUGGAUUUUUUUUUUUUUUUUUUGAGACAGAGUCCCACUCUCUGGCCCAGGCUGGAGAGCCCUCUUUCAGCAGGAAGUAGCCAGAUAGACUUGACAUCCCUCUUCACUAUGCUAUUUUCUCUUUCUUGAGACCAUGAUAUGCAACAGGCUGACUUGAGCAUGGGGGAAUAUAAAGGGUCCAAGAUUUGACCAAGUUAUUUGUCAGGGGAAAAUGACCAGAGCAAAAUUACCUGGUGACCAUCCAGCAGGCCCUGGAGACAAAAACUUCUUAUCUGAGGAAUUCAGAAGUAAUUAGACUUUCCUGUUAUGUAACACAGGCAUCUGGUUCCAGUUUUUUUUCCCCAAAAUUUAUAAGUAACUAGAAUUUCUAUACAUCUCUUGAAUGCAUGCAUAUCAAAACUCAUUGUGUGACCCUUGCUGACAUUAAGGCACCAGAAUGUCUACAAAUGUAAUCACUUAUCAUGACCUACAUGGCUAAUAUGGUCCAAAUUGCCCGUAAGCUCCCUCUUUGAGGUCCAUAAAUAUCCCUAAGGAAAAAUUCACUGGCACACUCAGUCCUCUCUUUCUGAGGCGCCCCGCUGCACUCUUUUGCAGCAUUCUAUUUAAUAGAAGUUUCCUUUUUAAACCUAUACUGUUGUCUGUAAAUUCUUACCAACCCGUGAGUUGACCACUUUCUAGUGCUAGGGCUCUGACACCUCACCCAGCACUUAUGAAAUAGCCAAACUGUUUGCUGAGAUGGUUGUACAUUUUUCAUUCCCACCAGCAGUGUAUGACAGUUCCAGUUGCUCCAUAACCUCACCAACACUUAGUUUUAGCUAUUCUGGCUGGGAGCAGUGGCUCACACCUGUAAUCCCAGUGCUUUGGGAGGCUGAGGAGGGAGGAUCCCUUGAAGCCAGGAAUUUGAGACCACCCGGACCAAUGUAGUAAUACCCAUCUACAAAAAAAUAAAAAUCUAGCCAGGUGUAGUGGUGCUUGCCUGUAGAUCCAGCUACUCAGGGGCGCAAGAGGGAGGAUCACUAGAGCCCAGGGGUUUGAGACUGCAGUUAGCCAUGAUCCCAACACUGCACUCCGGUCUGGGUGACAGAGAAAUCUUGUCUCUAAAAAGGAAAACAGAACAUUUUUUUUUAGCCAUUGUAAUGGGUAUAAGGUGGUAUCUCAUUGUGACUUUAAUUUACAUUUCUCUUACCACUAAUGAUGUUGAACAUUUUUUCAGGUGCUUAUUGUCAUUUAUAUAUUUUCUGCUGUGAAGUAACUUCAAAUAAUUUGCCAAUUUUGUUAUUUUGUUUGUCUUAUUGUUGAGUGGCAAGGACUGGUUACAUGAUCUGUAUGUAAGUCUUUUGUGUAUAUAUGUGUUUCAAGUAUUUUUACACAGUCUUUGGCUUGCUAUUGAAUUAUCUUAUUUUUCUUUUUUUGGAGACAGAGUCUCUUUCUGUCACCCUGGCUGGAGAGCAGUGGUGUGAUCAUAACUCACUGUAACCUCAAACUCCUG
Molecule: long non-coding RNA, 3273 nt
Filed under: Homo sapiens (human)
Lineage: Eukaryota; Metazoa; Chordata; Mammalia; Primates; Hominidae
Description: non-protein coding lnc-HENMT1-2:3
Source: RNAcentral